RNAcentral lists this ribosomal RNA (497 nucleotides) under uncultured bacterium. Its description in RNAcentral is "partial 16S ribosomal RNA". It matches the Rfam family "Bacterial small subunit ribosomal RNA", at positions 28 to 507 of the family's 1533-position model. The record is from RNAcentral.
GAUGAACGCUGGCGGCGUGCCUAAUACAUGCAAGUCGAGCGAACAGACGAGGAUCUUGCUCCUCUGACGUUAGCGACGGACGGGUGAGUAACACGUGGAUAAGCUACCUAUAAGACUGGGAUAACUUCGGGAAACCGGAGCUAAUACCGGAUAAUAUAUUGAACCGCAUGGUUCAAUAGUGAAAGACGGUUUUGCUGUCACUUAUAGAUGGAUCCGCGCCGCAUUAGCUAGUUGGUAAGGUAACGGCUUACAAAGGCAACGAGCCGUAGCCGACCCGAGAGAGUGAUAGGCGACACUGGGAGUGAAAGACGGUCCAGACUGCUACGGGAGCCAGCAGCAGGGUACUUCGGGAAACAGGAGAAAGCAUGACGCCGCAACGCCGCAUGGGCUAUGAGGGUAUUGGGAUCGUGAGACUCUGUGAUUAGGGAACAAGAACUGUGUAACUAACAAAACACGUAUUGACGGUACCUAGGCAGAAAGCAACGGCUAACUCCGUG